Microdochium nivale is the source of this 96-nucleotide non-coding RNA. Lineage: Eukaryota; Fungi; Ascomycota; Sordariomycetes; Xylariales; Microdochiaceae. The record is from the annotation of a GenBank genome assembly.
GGGCGCUUGGUCUAGGGGUAUGAUUUUCGCUUCGCACUAACGAUUCGUCGUUGAUACGCAUGUGAAAGGUCGUGGGUUCAAUUCCCACAGCGUCCA